CCAAGGAGUGCAACAUGCGUGCGAGUCUUUGGGUGAAUAAAACCCUGCGGCGCAAUGAAAGUGAAGGCAGGCUGUGGUCUGCCGAGGCGAGAGUCUCGGUUGCUUUGGGGACACAUCGUCGACCGAUCCCAGGUCACGCAGUGGCGGGAUUUGAGUGAGAGCGUGCCUGUUGCGACCCGAAAGAUGGUGAACUAUGCCCGAAUAGGGCGAAGCCAGAGGAAACUCUGGUGGAAGCUCGUAGCGAUUCUGACGUGCAAAUCGAUCGUCAAAUUUGGGUAUAGGGGCGAAAGACUAAUCGAACCAUCUAG
Molecule: ribosomal RNA, 308 nt
Filed under: Halichondria phakellioides
Lineage: Eukaryota; Metazoa; Porifera; Demospongiae; Suberitida; Halichondriidae
Description: LSU rRNA
Rfam family: Eukaryotic large subunit ribosomal RNA
Source: RNAcentral